UGUGUGUGUGUGUGUGUGUAGCAGUGACACUCCCAGGUCUGGUGGGUGUGGCCCUGCCAGCUGCUGGUCACGCCUAGGUUCUCACACACCUGCUACUGAUCAGGCUCGUCGGGGAGCUACUUAACAGAACGAUGGAGCUUCCUCCGGUGCAGGAUCAUUGAGUUAGACUCCAUGAGGGGAGCGGGACACAGGACAGCAGGACGCACGGGAGCAGAGACCACGGAAUACCAGCACUUAGGAGAAGGCACAACACAGGAGUUGAGGAAGCACACUGGAGAUUUAUUGUGUGGUGUACAAUUACCUCACUGUAAAUAAACGCACUGUUCAUUGCACCAAGUCCAGCGUUUGGGUCCUUUCUCCAACAUCCCCACGGCUUGCCCUGGCAAACCGUAACACUCUUAGUUUAAGAUUUUUAGAAUAAAUAUGUAGAAGCAACAUUUCUGCAUCUAAAGCAAUCAUUGUAGUUAAAAUUUGGUUUAUUUUGCUCAUCACCUCCUGCCAAAAUGUGCGGACAAUUCUGCAUUCCCAUAUACAGUGGAAAAAUGUCCGACAGGCUUCCCCACAUUUAAAACAUGUAUCUGGAAUUCUGUUGUUAUAUUUGUUCAAUUUCACCUGUGGUAACACCUGCUACACAAAAGCUACAUGUUAGUUUUUGUAAGAAAACCAAUUACCCCCUUAUUUGUUGUUUAUUGUUGUGACUUAUUUUGACAUUGUUAUGUGUUGCCAGACCAUGGUUAUAUUUCAUUAUGCCAGUAGAUGGUGAUCUUGCACUGCUGUGGAACUACCAGAGAGACUCUAGCUAUAGGCUCUGCGCAUGCGCAGCUCAGAAAUAAAUGAGCUCCGGCCUGAGCAAGACGCUAACUUCGGUGUCCUCUCUAUUAAUCCACAGGUACUGACAAACAAACUUUUAUGUUACCAAACUGGUUCUAAAUGUCAUGUAAGUUGAGUAACAACUGUUCGGCUAUAUUUUGAGAUGAUUGUGAUGAUGUUGUUUUGUGGUAUUUUGUUGUAAUGAGUAUUAGUGUAUCAUCGGCAUAAUGCUAUAAUGCUACGUAGCACUAUAAGUAUAUGCCAUGACAGUGGCAACCUGCGACUUCAGAAAAUGUGUUGUACUGUUUGUUUUAGUGUUAGCCAAGCAGUACUGAGUACAUGUAUUAAGGGGAAAGGUUUUCGUUGGUGAAACAACGUUUGCAGUCGUCUGCCGCCAUGUUGUGUUGCGUUCAGGGGACGCCAUGUUCAAAAGUGAUAGCGUAUAUGGCGCGAAUGUGGGGACAGGUUGUGUGAAUGUGAGAUGGGUUAUUUCGGUAUGUUGUUAUGCUUUAACCGCGAGUGUUUUGUUUAAGUUGUGAGUAUGUAAAGUUAUUUUGAAUUAGUUUGUGUUUAUUUUGCUUUUGAGAGAAUGCUUUUUGUAACUUUAUUUUUGUUUAUCAACUAUGUUAUUUUAUGGGAAGAAUGCAUGGUCUAGUGUGAUUUGUAUUGUGUAUAUGUGGAGAAAUAAAUGAGCUCCGGCCUGAGCAAGACGCUAACUUCGGUGUCCUCUCUAUUAAUCCACAGUUUGCUCAUACUUGGCUACGCAGUGCUCUCUAGCCUGUGUGCCGCUUGCUGCCGGUCCAGAUUCCCCUAGAUCUGGUGCAGGGGUGACCAAAUGUAUCUCUGCUCGAAUGCUGGGAUGUUUGCGAACACAACUGCUGUGAACAAACUGACAAAAAUUGCUGAUCCUCACUCCUAUUUAUGGAAAAAGAAGGAUCAAAGAUCCUAAGAUGUCUUUGUGACAUCAUCACUCUGUAAGCCAAUGAGAUUCUCACAUGAAAUUUAUGAAUGAGAAUGUUUUUUUUUAAACUGUUUUCAAAUUUAAUAUGUCAGUUUUUCUUAGGCUACAUUCAAUGAUGAUGCAGCCUUGACAUGAGGUUUGGCAGGUUGCUGGAAACAGUGAACACCUCAGACACGCAGCCUGCCAUGGACAGCAGAGAGAUGAUCAGAAGAACGGGUUUACAAUCAGCGACAUGCUUUUUUUUUUUUUUUUAACCCGACCUGUUCAUAUUGCGGCAUCUUGAAUGAUGAACGCUUUAUGAGGAAGUGAUGUGGGGCAUGAGUACGGUGAACCUUCACUCAGACAACUCCCCGUCGCAGUAUUUGGAUCACACUUAGUCACAUUAAAUCUGUUUUUCAGGAUUAAAGCUUUAACUUGAACUAAAUUUUGCACGUGUGCUGAUAUGUACAGUGAUAUGGAUGUUUCAUAGCAAUUGUAAAAUUAUUUUAGAAAGUGAAAACAAAAAGAAUCUAUCCUCUUUUCAAGUUUAAGAAGAUAGGUUGCAGUAGACUUUUUAAAUGGUCAGAGAUUGAAAUGUAUUGACUUUUGUAUAGUAUUUUUUUCUCUCUUAUUUUAUUUACUAAAUGUACCUGUAUAUUGUUUACAUGUUUGAAAUAAAUUAACAACAAUAAUAAUAAUAAUAAAUUUGUAUCACUGUAAAAAAAAUGUAUCUGAAAUGGUAAAAAUAUAAAAUUAGGAGAUAAAGUAUCAUAUCUAAAAGCUAAAGUUGGGGUUUUUUGGUAUUCGUACUUAGAAUUUGUGUGUUCGCAUAGCUUUGCUCCCACAUACAUCCACCAUCAGUACAUCAGCGCUGUCACUUGGCAAUGUGGAGAGAUCACUGGAGGUAAUGUAGAGAGAAUAGGGUGGGGUUUACUCGCUAAAAGAGGCGUCCUAGAGACGCCGAAGAAUCUUUCUAUACUUUAAAAGUAAAACCUACAUACACAGCUCUGAUUACAAACCCCUUGCUUCCCCUUCUUUUCUAUUGGUAACUUUCUUUCUCUUUUGUCACCACCAACAAUGAUUCACUCAUCUCUGACCUGCACCAAAGACAUAUAUGCGCUGCAUUAAGUUGUCACAUAGUCCAGUCAACGAAUACUCUUCAUCCUCAGCGAAACCAGACACAUCAGGUCGAGAUAGACUCACAGCUAGGCCAGUUACUCACACACAAAUUGGCAUCAUCGACCCACAAAUUUGAUGCGUCAGUGCAUUUGGGACAUCUGUGCAAAGCAAUCGAGGUACACACAACAUGAUGGAAAGGUGUCCGGUCCUCAUCAGGACUUCAAUUUAGGUAAAUAGAACUUCAGAUCAAGAACGACACAUGACAUAUUACACCAUGUAAUUAUUGACUCAUUAUUUACUUAGUGCUUCUAUAGAGUAUCAGAGGGUAAGUAACAGCCAGCCAAAUCAAACUGAUUAUCAGUAAGAGGCAGAAGCUCUAUAAAAGUAAAGUCUUUACUUGUCUGGAGCAUUCAGGUGUGUGUCAGAGAUAUCAGCAGUGAUCUUACAGACACAACUAUUGCUGCCUCUCUACCUCAAAAGAGUUAUAAAGUCAUUUCCAAACAAUUUGACAUCCAGAUCUAGAGCUACAACAUUUAAGACCGCUUCCUGUCUUCCCAGAGGUGGAUGUCCUGGGAAAUUCCCAAGACCAGGCGAUACGAUGCUCAGAGAAACGACGAAAAACCAUAGACACUACAGGCCUCGGUUGGUGUUUUAAAAGUUAAACUUCAUGACAGUACAGUUCAGUAAAAAGACUGAACAAGAAUGUUUUGUUUGGAAAGAUUUCCAGGAGAAAGACUUUUCUCUGACAUGGAUGGAUCCUUCGUUUUGGUAAUUUCAUGGGACAGUAUCAAAAAUACUCAAAAAUAAACAGUCUUAAAUGCCGAACAGGCAUAUUUGGUUUAAAUUCCACCAUACAGGAUUUGAGAAGAUCCAGGAAGCCUUUAAAUUUCAUAAAGGUUGUGUUCGAAAAACAUAAGAGUAGUCAGUUUUUGAUAAGCGGGUUUGUUUUCUGAUGUCUCAUCAAUAGAAAAAGAACCGGUCAGAGAAUGUCACUGCUGCAACUGUGUCAAAGGCUCCAAAAUAAAAGUUUAGACAAAAAAGAUUUAUUGACAAGCAAAACAGCAUCUCUAUAUAUUACAUAAAGUCAUCUUAUGUACAAAAUUAAUUUGUAUUGACUGAAAACACAAAGUCCUCGUGCAGGAGCUGCAUGUUCAGAGUUUUUGCAGUCAUCCUUGUCAGCUCACGGUCACAGCACUUUUUUCUAUGCUUCUGCACUUUGGAAACAGCAGAUCUGGAGUCAAAUCAGGCUUUGUUGUCUUUGCCUGCUUGGCUGGGGGGAGGAUCCAUCAGGUCCUUAAA
Long non-coding RNA from Oreochromis niloticus (Nile tilapia), 4168 nucleotides. RefSeq lists it as uncharacterized. The transcript has 3 exons. NCBI's taxonomy places the organism in Eukaryota, Metazoa, Chordata, Actinopteri, Cichliformes, Cichlidae. The record is from RefSeq and is a predicted model, not a curated record.